This 69-nucleotide transfer RNA is filed under the name Hydrodamalis gigas (Steller's sea cow). RNAcentral describes it as "tRNA-Gly". It matches the Rfam family "tRNA". From Rfam's summary of the family: Transfer RNA (tRNA) molecules are approximately 80 nucleotides in length. Lineage: Eukaryota; Metazoa; Chordata; Mammalia; Sirenia; Dugongidae. The record is from RNAcentral.
AUUCUUUUAGUAUCAAAUAGUACGACUGACUUCCAAUCAGUAAGUUUUGGUUACACCCAAGGAAGAAUA